GACGAACGCUGGCGGCGUGCCUAAUACAUGCAAGUAGAACGCUGAAGGAGGAGCUUGCUUCUCUGGAUGAGUUGCGAACGGGUGAGUAACGCGUAGGUAACCUGCCUGGUAGCGGGGGAUAACUAUUGGAAACGAUAGCUAAUACCGCAUAAGAGUAGAUGUCGCAUGACAUUUGCUUAAAAGGUGCAAUUGCAUCACUACCAGAUGGACCUGCGUUGUAUUAGCUAGUUGGUGAGGUAACGGCUCACCAAGGCAACGAUACAUAGCCGACCUGAGAGGGGGAUCGGCCACACUGGGACUGGGACACGGCCCAGACUCCUACGGGAGGCAGCAGGAGGGAAUCUUCGGCAAUGGACGGAAGUCUGAACGAGCAAAGCCGGGGUAGUGAAGAAGGUUUUCGGAUUGUAAAGCUCUGUUGUAAGGGAAGAACGAGUGUGAGAGUGGAAAGUUCACACUGUGACGGUAUCUUACCAGAAAGGGACGGCUAACUACGUG
Molecule: ribosomal RNA, 495 nt
Filed under: uncultured bacterium
Lineage: Bacteria
Description: partial 16S ribosomal RNA
Rfam family: Bacterial small subunit ribosomal RNA
Source: RNAcentral